GCUGGAGGACUAAGAAGGCUGAGUCUGAUGAAGCAAGACUGCUGAUACAAUCCUCCUUUUAAAAAAAAAAAAAAAAAAAAGGGUUGGAGAGAGCAGCCUAUACUGGAGAAUAUCAUAGGGCUGACUGCACUACUCAACAUUC
Molecule: non-coding RNA, 142 nt
Organism: Pipistrellus kuhlii (Kuhl's pipistrelle)
Lineage: Eukaryota; Metazoa; Chordata; Mammalia; Chiroptera; Vespertilionidae
Product: small Cajal body-specific RNA 4
Exons: 1
Source: RefSeq, a predicted model, not a curated record